ACCCUUAACUCCCAAAGCCUUCGCUUACACUUCCUCUGACCCAUAU
This 46-nucleotide transfer RNA is filed under the name Scaphirhynchus platorynchus (shovelnose sturgeon). RNAcentral describes it as "partial tRNA-Pro". Lineage: Eukaryota; Metazoa; Chordata; Actinopteri; Acipenseriformes; Acipenseridae. The record is from RNAcentral. RNAcentral also lists the same sequence under 1 other name.